Molecule: ribosomal RNA, 250 nt
Filed under: uncultured bacterium
Lineage: Bacteria
Description: partial 16S ribosomal RNA
Rfam family: Bacterial small subunit ribosomal RNA
Source: RNAcentral
CGUAGGUACAAGCGUUGUCCGGAAUUAUUGGGCGUAAAGAGCUCGUAGGCGGUUCGUCGCGUCUGCUGUGGAAACGCAAGGCUCAACCUUGCGCGUGCAGUGGGUACGGCGGACUAGAGUGCAGUAGGGAGUCUGGAAUUCCUGGUGUAGCGGUGAAAUGCGCAGAUAUCAGGAGGAACACCGGUGGCGAAGGCGGGACUCUGGGCUGUAACUGACGCUGAGGAGCGAAAGCAUGGGAGCGAACAGGAUU